Molecule: ribosomal RNA, 856 nt
Filed under: Thielavia sp. ZH-2014
Lineage: Eukaryota; Fungi; Ascomycota; Sordariomycetes; Coronophorales; Ceratostomataceae
Description: eukaryotic LSU rRNA
Rfam family: Eukaryotic large subunit ribosomal RNA
Source: RNAcentral
UUUGGGGAGAACCAACAGGGAUUGCCCCAGUAACGGCGAGUGAAGCGGCAACAGCUCAAAUUUGAAAUCUGGCCUCGGCCCGAGUUGUAAUUUGCAGAGGAAGCUUUAGGCGCGGCACCUCCUGAGUCCCCUGGAACGGGGCGCCACAGAGGGUGAGAGCCCCGUAUAGUUGGAUGCCCAGCCUGUGUAAAGCUCCUUCGACGAGUCGAGUAGUUUGGGAAUGCUGCUCAAAAUGGGAGGUAAAUUUCUUCUAAAGCUAAAUACCGGCCAGAGACCGAUAGCGCACAAGUAGAGUGAUCGAAAGAUGAAAAGCACUUUGAAAAGAGGGUUAAAUAGCACGUGAAAUUGUUGAAAGGGAAGCGCUUGUGACCAGACUUGCGCCGGGCUGAUCAUCCGGUGUUCUCACCGGUGCACUCGGCCCGGCGCGGGCCAGCAUCGGCUCCCGCGGGGGGACAAAGGCCCCGGGAAUGUAGCUCCCCCAGGGAGUGUUAUAGCCCGGGGCGCAAUGCCCCCGCGGGGACCGAGGUACGCGCUCCGCAAGGAUGCUGGCGUAAUGGUCACCAGCGACCCGUCUUGAAACACGGACCAAGGAGUCAAGGUUUUGCGCGAGUGUUUGGGUGUCAAACCCGCACGCGUAAUGAAAGUGAACGUAGGUGAGAGCUUCGGCGCAUCAUCGACCGAUCCUGAUGUACUCGGAUGGAUUUGAGUAGGAGCGUUAAGCCUUGGACCCGAAAGAUGGUGAACUAUGCUUGGAUAGGGUGAAGCCAGAGGAAACUCUGGUGGAGGCUCGCAGCGGUUCUGACGUGCAAAUCGAUCGUCAAAUCUGAGCAUGGGGGCGAAAGACUAAUCGAACCAU